UACGUAGGGUGCGAGCGUUGUCCGGAAUCAUUGGGCGUAAAGGGCGCGUAGGUGGUGGCUUAAGCGUGCGGUGAAAGCUCGGGGCUCAACCCCGAGUCGGCCGUGCGAACUGGGCUCACUGGAGCAUAGUAGAGGCAGGUGGAAUUCCGGGUGUAGCGGUGGAAUGCGCAGAUAUCAGGAGGAACACCGAUGGCGAAGGCAGGUCUCUGGGCAUUAACUGACGCUGAGGAGCGAAAGCAUGGGGAGCGAACAGG
Molecule: ribosomal RNA, 254 nt
Filed under: uncultured bacterium
Lineage: Bacteria
Description: partial 16S ribosomal RNA
Rfam family: Bacterial small subunit ribosomal RNA
Source: RNAcentral